GUCCACGCUGUAAACGAUGGAUGCUAGCUAUUGUUCACAUCGACCUGAACAGUAGCGUAGUUAACGCGUUAAGCAUCCCGCCUGGGGAGUACGGUCGCAAGAUUAAAACUCAAAGGAAUUGACGGGGACCCGCACAAGCGGUGGAGCGUGUUGUUUAAUUCGAGGCUAAGCGAAGAACCUUACCCAGACUUGACUUCCUGUGAAGUCCGGCGAAAGCUGGAUGUGCCUUCGGGAACAUAGUGACAGGUGAUGCAUGGCCGUCGU
Molecule: ribosomal RNA, 264 nt
Filed under: uncultured bacterium
Lineage: Bacteria
Description: partial 16S ribosomal RNA
Rfam family: Bacterial small subunit ribosomal RNA
Source: RNAcentral